Molecule: ribosomal RNA, 265 nt
Filed under: uncultured bacterium
Lineage: Bacteria
Description: partial 16S ribosomal RNA
Rfam family: Bacterial small subunit ribosomal RNA
Source: RNAcentral
UUCGAGUGGCGGACGGGUGAGUAACGCGUGGGUAACCUGCCUUACACAGGGGGAUAACACCUGGAAACAGGUGCUAAUACCGCAUAAGCGCACAGGGCCGCAUGGCCCCGGUGUGACAAACUCCGGUGGUGUAAGAUGGACCCGCGUCUGAUUAGCUUGUUGGCGGGGUAGGGGCCCACCAAGGCGACGAUCAGUAGCCGGCCUGAGAGGGUGGACGGCCACAUUGGGACUGAGACACGGCCCAAACUCCUACGGAAGGCAGCAG